This 489-nucleotide ribosomal RNA is filed under the name uncultured bacterium. Its description in RNAcentral is "partial 16S ribosomal RNA". It matches the Rfam family "Bacterial small subunit ribosomal RNA", at positions 28 to 507 of the family's 1533-position model. The record is from RNAcentral.
GAUGAACGCUAGCGGGAGGCCUAACACAUGCAAGCCGAGCGGGAUUUGUUGGUUAGCUUGCUAACUAACAAUGAGAGCGGCGUACGGGUGCGUAGCACGUGUGCAACCUGCCUUUAUCUGGGGGAUAGCCUUUCGAAAGGAAGAUUAAUACCCCAUAACAUAUUGAUUGGCAUCAGUUAAUAUUGAAAGCUCCGGCGGAUAGAGAUGGGCACGCGUAAGAUUAGCUAGUUGGUGAGGUAACGGCUCACCAAGGCUGCGAUCUUUAGGGGGCCUGAGAGGGUGAUCCCCCACACUGGUACUGAGACACGGACCAGACUCCUACGGGAGGCAGCAGUGAGGAAUAUUGGACAAUGGGUGAGAGCCUGAUCCAGCCAUCCCGCGUGAAGGACUAAGGACCUAUGGUUUGUAAACUUCUUUUAGACAGGGAUAAACCUACUCUCGUGAGGGUAGCUGAAGGUACUGUAUGAAUAAGCACCGGCUAACUCCGUG